ACCCAAGCCAACGCUCUCAGCCUCAACCUCAUUGCGUGCGGGCUAGUCAACGGUAUACCGGAACAGAUCUUAUCAACGAUAUCUACAGCACAGUCAAUUUGGUCCUGGAUGAAGACGCCUCACCGCACAGCAUACAUGGGAGCUCUAGUCCGUCUCAGCACUCGCCGAGCAGUAGCAACAAUGUCUCGGACCUGAGCAAUGACUCUAGCCCCGAACAGGGCUAUCCAGACUUUCCCCCCAGCCCCGAUUCCUGGCUUGGUGACUCGUCAAGUACCGACAACACCAGCAGCAAUAACAACAACAAGCAUUAACAGCAUUAACGAUGGUGGCAGAGGCAGCGGCAGUGGUGCAGCGUGCGAAUUUGAGCAAUGUCACCACUGCAAGUCCCAGUAUGCCGUUAUUUUGAGAUGCUGUCUCGCAGUCUUUUUCCUCUCUGCCCAGCACCAACAACAACAAAAGCUUUAACAGCGCCAUGUUGAAAGCGGUAAAUAUUACGAUAGCGAAGCGAAGCGGUUAAGGGGAAUGUGUUAGGAGCUGUGGCAACGCCACUAUAGUUUGGGAACAAAUAUGCAGGUUUUACAUAUAUUAAUAUAAUUUCAUGAAUUCAUUUGUACGUAAAUACAUAGAUACAUAUGUACCUUAUGCCAGG
RNAcentral lists this long non-coding RNA (649 nucleotides) under Drosophila guanche. The record is from RNAcentral. Lineage: Eukaryota; Metazoa; Arthropoda; Insecta; Diptera; Drosophilidae.